GACGAACGCUGGCGGCGUGCUUAACACAUGCAAGUCGAACGGAAAGGCCCUGCUUUUGUGGGGUGCUCGAGUGGCGAACGGGUGAGUAACACGUGAGUAACCUGCCCUUGACUUUGGGAUAACUUCAGGAAACUGGGGCUAAUACCGGAUAGGAGCUCCUGCUGCAUGGUGGGGGUUGGAAAGUUUCGGCGGUUGGGGAUGGACUCGCGGCUUAUCAGCUUGUUGGGGGGGUAGUGGCUUACCAAGGCUUUGACGGGUAGCCGGCCUGAGAGGGUGACCGGCCACAUUGGGACUGAGAUACGGCCCAGACUCCUACGGGAGGCAGCAGUGGGGAAUAUUGCACAAUGGGCGGAAGCCUGAUGCAGCAACGCCGCGUGCGGGAUGACGGCCUUCGGGUUGUGAACCGCUUUCGCCUGUGACGAAGCGUGAGUGACGGUAAUGGGUAAAGAAGCACCGGCUAACUACGUG
RNAcentral lists this ribosomal RNA (468 nucleotides) under uncultured bacterium. RNAcentral describes it as "partial 16S ribosomal RNA". It matches the Rfam family "Bacterial small subunit ribosomal RNA", at positions 28 to 507 of the family's 1533-position model. The record is from RNAcentral.